UCCUGGCUUAGGACGAACGCUGGCGGCGUGCCUAAUACAUGCAAGUCGAACGGCUUUUCUAUGGAAGCUUGCUUCCACUGAGAAGAUAGUGGCGAACGGGUGAGUAACACGUGGGUAACCUGCCCAUAAGAGGGGGAUAACAUCCGGAAACGGGUGCUAAUACCGCAUAGUUUUCUUGAUCGCAUGAUCGGGAAAGGAAAGACGGCCUUUGUGCUGUCGCUUAUGGAUGGGCCCGCGGCGUAUUAGUUAGUUGGUGAGGUAACGGCUCACCAAGACGAUGAUACGUAGCCGACCUGAGAGGGUGAUCGGCCACAUUGGGACUGAGACACGGCCCAAACUCCUACGGGAGGCAGCAGUAGGGAAUCUUCCGCAAUGGACGAAAGUCUGACGGAGCAACGCCGCGUGAGUGAAGAAGGUUUUUCCGGAUCGUAAAACUCUGUUGUCAGAGAAGAACAAGUUGGAGAGUAACUGCUCCAGCCUUGACGGUAUCUGACCAGAAAGCCACGGCUAACUACGUGCCAGCAGCCGC
RNAcentral lists this ribosomal RNA (529 nucleotides) under uncultured bacterium. Its description in RNAcentral is "bacterial SSU rRNA". It matches the Rfam family "Bacterial small subunit ribosomal RNA", at positions 17 to 518 of the family's 1533-position model. The record is from RNAcentral.